GCAGUCGAACGCUUUUUCUUUCACCGGAGCUUGCUCCACUCGAAAGAAAAAGAGUGGCGAACGGGUGAGUAACACGUGGGUAACCUGCCCAUCAGAAGGGGAUAACACUUGGAAACAGGUGCUAAUACCGUAUAACACUAUUUUCCGCAUGGAAGAAAGUUGAAAGGCGCUUUUGCGUCACUGAUGGAUGGACCCGCGGUGCAUUAGCUAGUUGGUGAGGUAACGGCUCACCAAGGCCACGAUGCAUAGCCGACCUGAGAGGGUGAUCGGCCACACUGGGACUGAGACACGGCCCAGACUCCUACGGGAGGCAGCAGUAGGGAAUCUUCGGCAAUGGACGAAAGUCUGACCGAGCAACGCCGCGUGAGUGAAGAAGGUUUUCGGAUCGUAAAACUCUGUUGUUAGAGAAGAACAAGGAUGAGAGUAGAACGUUCAUCCCUUGACGGUAUCUAACCAGAAAGCCACGGCUAACUACGU
RNAcentral lists this ribosomal RNA (477 nucleotides) under Enterococcus gallinarum. Its description in RNAcentral is "bacterial SSU rRNA". It matches the Rfam family "Bacterial small subunit ribosomal RNA", at positions 57 to 506 of the family's 1533-position model. The record is from RNAcentral. Lineage: Bacteria; Bacillati; Bacillota; Bacilli; Lactobacillales; Enterococcaceae.